This 356-nucleotide transfer-messenger RNA is filed under the name Opitutaceae. RNAcentral's name for it is "IMCC26134_A sp000972765 Standard tmRNA". It matches the Rfam family "transfer-messenger RNA". Rfam says of the family: Bacterial tmRNA, also known as 10Sa RNA or SsrA, is named for its dual tRNA and mRNA-like properties. Its role is to liberate the mRNA from a stalled ribosome. To accomplish this part of the tmRNA is used as a reading frame that ends in a translation stop signal. RNAcentral also lists the same sequence under 1 other name. Lineage: Bacteria; Pseudomonadati; Verrucomicrobiota; Opitutia; Opitutales. The record is from RNAcentral.
GGGGGUGUUCUGGAUUCGACCCUUGGUUGGAGUGCAUGGCUGCCCUCCGCGAGUGAAGGCCUCGCGUAAAUCAUCCUUCACAAAAAACAUAAACGGCACCUACGAAGAAAUGCCCCUCGCCGCCUAAGUGCGGUGACGAUCUCCCAGCGACGUCCACUAGCUGAUGAGAUCGACGACAGUGGACAUAACGCCCAGAGCCACCCGCGGUGUGGGCGUCGUAUCUUCGAUCCGGGGGUUAGUUGACGACAUUGCGCGUGCAGUCGCGGGUCGGCGGCGAAUUUAAAACGGCACUAUGAGGGUAGGCGCUGUGUGCGAAGGUCAGGGGGACGCGGGUUCAACUCCCGCCACCUCCACCA